CGUGAAGGAUAACGUUGCGUCAGCAACGGCCCGAAGGGCGAGGCGAAGCCGAGUCAUCCUGCACGACCCACCA
Molecule: small RNA, 73 nt
Filed under: Klebsiella pneumoniae
Lineage: Bacteria; Pseudomonadati; Pseudomonadota; Gammaproteobacteria; Enterobacterales; Enterobacteriaceae
Also listed under: 82 other names
Description: partial RtT sRNA
Rfam family: RtT RNA
About the family: This family represents a bacterial cis-regulatory element known as RtT RNA. The exact function of RtT is unknown although it is thought that it may be involved in changing the cellular response in relation to amino acid starvation.
Source: RNAcentral